AUUGAACGCUGGCGGCAGGCCUAACACAUGCAAGUCGAACGCGAAAGUUCCUUCGGGAGCGAGUAGCGUGGCGGACGGGUGAGUAACGCGCAGGAAUCUGCCCUGUAGUGGGGGGAUAACCCGGGGAAACUCGGGCUAAUACCGCAUACGCCCCAAGGGGGAAAGCGGGGGAUCCUUCGGGACCUCGCGCUAUAGGAAGAGCCUGCGUCGGAUUAGCUAGUUGGUAGGGUAAAGGCCUACCAAGGCGACGAUCCGUAGCUGGUCUGAGAGGAUGAUCAGCCACACCGGAACUGAGACACGGUCCGGACUCCUACGGGAGGCAGCAGUGGGGAAUAUUGCGCAAUGGGCGAAAGCCUGACGCAGCCAUGCCGCGUGUGUGAAGAAGGCCUCGG
RNAcentral lists this ribosomal RNA (392 nucleotides) under uncultured bacterium. RNAcentral's name for it is "bacterial SSU rRNA". It matches the Rfam family "Bacterial small subunit ribosomal RNA", at positions 29 to 420 of the family's 1533-position model. The record is from RNAcentral.